UACGGAGGGGGCUAGCGUUGUUCGGAAUUACUGGGCGUAAAGCGCACGUAGGCGGCUUUGUAAGUUAGAGGUGAAAGCCCGGGGCUCAACUCCGGAAUUGCCUUUAAGACUGCAUCGCUAGAAUUGUGGAGAGGUAAGUGGAAUUCCGAGUGUAGAGGUGAAAUUCGUAGAUAUUCGGAAGAACACCAGUGGCGAAGGCGACUUCUUGGCCUGUUCUUGACGCUGAGGCGCGAAAGCUGGGGGAGCAAACGGGG
Molecule: ribosomal RNA, 254 nt
Filed under: uncultured bacterium
Lineage: Bacteria
Description: partial 16S ribosomal RNA
Rfam family: Bacterial small subunit ribosomal RNA
Source: RNAcentral